GGUAUUGUGGCUCAGUGGUAGAGCGCUUGCCUAGCAUGCGUGAGACACUGGGUUUGACCCCCAGCACCA
Molecule: transfer RNA, 69 nt
Filed under: Marmota monax (woodchuck)
Lineage: Eukaryota; Metazoa; Chordata; Mammalia; Rodentia; Sciuridae
Rfam family: tRNA
About the family: Transfer RNA (tRNA) molecules are approximately 80 nucleotides in length.
Source: Rfam by way of RNAcentral